RNAcentral lists this ribosomal RNA (492 nucleotides) under uncultured bacterium. Its description in RNAcentral is "partial 16S ribosomal RNA". It matches the Rfam family "Bacterial small subunit ribosomal RNA", at positions 29 to 506 of the family's 1533-position model. The record is from RNAcentral.
AGUGAACGCUGGCGGUAGGCCUAACACAUGCAAGUCGAACGGCAGCACAGUAAGAGCUUGCUCUUACGGGUGGCGAGUGGCGGACGGGUGAGGAAUACAUCGGAAUCUACUUUUUCGUGGGGGAUAACGUAGGGAAACUUACGCUAAUACCGCAUACGACCUACGGGUGAAAGCAGGGGAUCUUCGGACCUUGCGCGAUUGAAUGAGCCGAUGUCGGAUUAGCUAGUUGGCGGGGUAAAGGCCCACCAAGGCGACGAUCCGUAGCUGGUCUGAGAGGAUGAUCAGCCACACUGGAACUGAGACACGGUCCAGACUCCUACGGGAGGCAGCAGUGGGGAAUAUUGGACAAUGGGCGCAAGCCUGAUCCAGCCAUACCGCGUGGGUGAAGAAGGCCUUCGGGUUGUAAAGCCCUUUUUGUUGGGAAAGAAAAGCAGCAGGUUAAUACCCCGCUGUUCUGACGGUACCCAAAGAAUAAGCACCGGCUAACUUCGU